Chanos chanos (milkfish) is the source of this 89-nucleotide small nucleolar RNA. Lineage: Eukaryota; Metazoa; Chordata; Actinopteri; Gonorynchiformes; Chanidae. The record is from RefSeq and is a predicted model, not a curated record.
UGUCUCUGAUGAUGUUCGCACUGGGCUCUGAGUGACUGUGGCGACGAAUGUGCUGUUCUGCUCUUGACAUGGCAGAACCUGAAGAGACU